RNAcentral lists this ribosomal RNA (497 nucleotides) under uncultured bacterium. RNAcentral describes it as "partial 16S ribosomal RNA". It matches the Rfam family "Bacterial small subunit ribosomal RNA", at positions 28 to 507 of the family's 1533-position model. The record is from RNAcentral.
GAUGAACGCUGGCGGCGUGCCUAAUACAUGCAAGUCGAGCGAACGGACGAGAAGCUUGCUUCUCUGAUGUUAGCGGCGGACGGGUGAGUAACACGUGGAUAACCUACCUAUAAGACUGGGAUAACUUCGGGAAACCGGAGCUAAUACCGGAUAAUAUUUUGAACCGCAUGGUUCAAAAGUGAAAGACGGUCUUGCUGUCACUUAUAGAUGGAUCCGCUCUGCAUUAGCUAGUUGGUAAGGUAACGGCUUACCAAGGCAACGAUGCAUAGCCGACCUGAGAGGGUGACCGGCCACACUGGAACUGAGACACGGUCCAGACUCCUACGGGAGGCAGCAGUAGGGAACCUUCCGCAAUGGGCGAAAGCCUGACGGAGCAACGCCGCGUGAGUGAUGAAGGUCUUCGGAUCGUAAAACUCUGUUAUUAGGGAAGAACAUAUGUGUAAGUAACUGUGCACAUCUUGACGGUACCUAAUCAGAAAGCCACGGCUAACUACGUG